CUUCUUCUUCUUCUUCUUCUUCUUUCCUCCCUCCGACCUCUCUAUCUCACGACUUCUUCUUCUUCUUUCCUCUGUUCGAUCUCUCUCUCAAGUCUUUUUCUUUUCUGCUUUCUCCCUCUCCACUUUUCUUCUUUCCUGCUGCUGCGCACAGGCACUGUUUUUUAUUUUUUCUUUUUUUUUCCCCCUCUCCUCUCCUUCUU
RNAcentral lists this unclassified non-coding RNA (200 nucleotides) under Hevea brasiliensis (rubber tree). The record is from RNAcentral. Lineage: Eukaryota; Viridiplantae; Streptophyta; Magnoliopsida; Malpighiales; Euphorbiaceae.